Molecule: ribosomal RNA, 381 nt
Filed under: uncultured eukaryote
Lineage: Eukaryota
Description: partial 18S ribosomal RNA
Rfam family: Eukaryotic small subunit ribosomal RNA
Source: RNAcentral
CAAUAGCGUAUAUUAAAGUUGUUGCAGUUAAAAAGCUCGUAGUUGGAUUUGUGGCGUACGGUGUGUUCCGGGCACUUGUUGUCUGAGUAACCUGCUGUUGCCAUCCUUGGGUGGAACCUGUGUGGCAUUAGGUUGUCGUGCAGGGGAUGCCCAUCAUUUACUGUGAAAAAAUUAGAGUGUUCAAAGCAGGCUUAUGCCGUUGAAUAUAUUAGCAUGGAAUAAUGAGAUAGGACUUUUUUGCUAUUUUGUUGGUUUGCGCAAAGAGGUAAUGAUUAAUAGGGACAGUUGGGGGUAUUCGUAUUCCAUUGUCAGAGGUGAAAUUCUUGGAUUUUUGGAAGACGAACUACUGCGAAAGCAUUUACCAAGGACGUUUUCAUUAAC